UUGUUAAAAACCGAAUUUGUUAAAAACCGAAUUUAAAUUCGGUUUUUAACAAG
This 53-nucleotide transfer RNA is filed under the name Ulva gigantea. RNAcentral's name for it is "tRNA-Phe". Lineage: Eukaryota; Viridiplantae; Chlorophyta; Ulvophyceae; Ulvales; Ulvaceae. The record is from RNAcentral.